AAGGAAACCUAUUGCCUUUGGAGGAAGCUUAGUCUACUUUUGGACAGUUCUCACUGUUGGAAAAAUUUUCCUGAUACCAAGCUUGUAUUUGCUUCCUUGCAGCAUCUAACCAUUAUUCCUGGUUCUACCCUUUAGGAACAAAGAGAAAAAUUUUUCUAAAUGACACGUCUUCAAGUACCUAGAGAUGCUCUUCAGUUUAUCACUGUCUAUGAAUGAUGAUGCCCAGAACUAAACAGAAUAAUUUAGAUGUGAUCUUAUUGGGGCAGUAUGUAGAAAAACUAUCAUCUCCUUAUUCCUGGAAGAUACACCUCCUUUAAUGUGGUCUAAGAUUGCAAGGAAUUGUUUGGUUGCCACCUCAUACCACUUCUUCGUAUUGAAGUUGCUAUCCACUAACAUUACCAGAUCUAAAAGCACUUCAGGAACUAUGGAAAUCCAUGCUGAAGGAAGUGAAAGGUCAAUAAACUACAAGUAAAAGCCAAAAGAAGAAAAAAAGGACCAAAAAUAAUUAAAUAAUCUCCAUGUUGUUAGUUCAAGAUGUGAGCCAGUAUUGAAGAGGCUCCAUUUUCCUAUCCUGAACCUGAUCCAGAAUGGUGGAAGAGAGCAGGAUACAGAGUAAAAGAGCAAAGCAUCAGGGUCCCCAUUAUGAGGCCACUGUACUGAGUUCCUGAAUAUCGUAUCUGAAGAAACCAUAAAAGAAAAUAACUUAGAACAAUU
This 714-nucleotide long non-coding RNA is filed under the name Monodelphis domestica (gray short-tailed opossum). RNAcentral describes it as "lncRNA (ENSMODG00000045222.1)". The record is from RNAcentral. Lineage: Eukaryota; Metazoa; Chordata; Mammalia; Didelphimorphia; Didelphidae.